UACAGAGGGUGCAAACGUUGCUCGGAAUUACUGGGCGUAAAGCGCGUGUAGGCGGCUUCAUAAGUCCGACGUGAAAGCCCGGGGCUCAACCCCGGAAGUGCGCUGGAUACUGUGUAGCUAGAGUCCUGAAGAGGAGAGCGGAAUUCCUGGUGUAGAGGUGAAAUUCGUAGAUAUCAGGAGGAACACCUGUGGCGAAGGCGGCUCUCUGGGCAGGUACUGACGCUGAGACGCGAAAGCGUGGGGAGCAAACAGG
Molecule: ribosomal RNA, 253 nt
Filed under: uncultured bacterium
Lineage: Bacteria
Description: partial 16S ribosomal RNA
Rfam family: Bacterial small subunit ribosomal RNA
Source: RNAcentral